AACGAACGCUGGCGGCAGGCUUAACACAUGCAAGUCGAACGCCCCGCAAGGGGAGUGGCAGACGGGUGAGUAACACGUGGGAACGUGCCCAAAGGUACGGAACAACUCCGGGAAACUGGAGCUAAUACCGUAUGUGUCCGCAAGGAGAAAGAUUUAUCGCCUUUGGAUCGGCCCGCGUCGGAUUAGCUAGUUGGUGGGGUAAUGGCCUACCAAGGCGACGAUCCGUAGCUGGUUUGAGAGAACGACCAGCCACACUGGGACUGAGACACGGCCCAGACUCCUACGGGAGGCAGCAGUGGGGAAUCUUGGACAAUGGGCGCAAGCCUGAUCCAGCCAUGCCGCGUGGAUGAUGAAGGCCUUAGGGUUGUAAAAUCCUUUCGUCAGGGACGAUAAUGACGGUACCUGAAGAAGAAGCCCCGGCUAACUUCGUGCCAGCAGCCGCGGUAA
This 447-nucleotide ribosomal RNA is filed under the name uncultured bacterium. RNAcentral describes it as "partial 16S ribosomal RNA". It matches the Rfam family "Bacterial small subunit ribosomal RNA", at positions 29 to 523 of the family's 1533-position model. The record is from RNAcentral.